UAAAUUUCUCUACUAACAUAAAUAAGCAUAGAAUUGCCUUUCCCUUUAGGUUACUCAUCUCCCAAUUUACAUUGCUCUUUUCCUCGACUUACAUAUUUUGCAAAUUUAGUUCUAAGGAGGAAGUUCAAACGUAAUGCCUCACUCUGAAGUUGGACAUUCUACAUUCGAUCUCCCUUCUGUUCCACCGUUGAAUUUGUCCUGCUUUUUCUUUAAAUCCAUUUGCAAAUACUCUUAACAUUUUGGUGAGUGUAUUUACUAUUUCGUGGCACAUGCUAUUUUUCGUUUGGGUUUGUUAAACUGAAUAUGGCAGACAUUUUUUGGUUUCAGUGUGUUCUGUGUGGUUUUGGGGUUGAAGAUUGGAUGAGAAUGAUAGUUAGUAAGCGAUGCAUAGGGAUUGAUAUUAGAGAGAUAGAGUAAAAUUAGAGUGACAUCCAAAAGAGCUCUGUCUAUUUUCAAAAUGGGAGGGAGAUGUCACUAGGGUUUAGGGUCUCUAGUCUAUUUUCUAUUUUCUAACCUCGUCCUCUGUCUAUUUUCUAUUUUAGAAAAGAGUGCAACCCGCCACCAGAAGAAAAUCUAUCUAUUAUGACAAUAUAUCUCACAAAAUUGGAGGGAGAGAAAAAACUGUCACAAAAUAGAAAAUAUUGUGUUUUUAGCGGAAAAAGACGGAAUUUUUCGGAUAAUACUUCCCCCGACAGUUAUUUAAUGUCAUAGAAUGUUACCAUUAAAAAAUUUAUUAUUUUAUAUUUAAAAAUUUUAUUAUUUUAUAUUUAAAAAAUUAAAAUUACAACUUUAUAUUUUAAAAAAGCACAAUUUCCCCUUCUAAACCCUUAAUUUUUUCCCAAUUGCUUCCUCUCAUCUGCGUUUCUCCCCUAAAUUUUCCUCAUUCCUCUUGUGCGCGUUUCUUCCCAUUCCGGCCAUCUUAAGUCUCGUUGCCACCACUUCCCUCCUCGUGCCCGUCCGUCCAAACCUCCUCCUCCUCGUCACCAACACCCUGUCGCCACCACCCCGUCUUCUCCAAACCUCCGCAAUCAACUUGAAGCUUCAAAUCGUGGACAUCGGUCGUCACCCCUCCGCCGGACAAGUGGGGGAAAGAAGAAAGGAAAAGAUCAUACAAGACAUAUCACGCAAAGGCUACGCGAUGGAUCUAGCUUGGAGGUUAACAAACCCAGAGAAGAAACCAACACAUCACGCGAGGAAAGCUCACAAAAAGAUAAGGAUGUUAGUUGGGAUGACGUGACCUCAGUGGCCAGAUGUUAGCACUAACAAACUCAGAGGAAUAGAAGUUUUCCACCGAAAAGCAGCCUAUACAAGCAUUUCGUCUUCACCAACAGGAGGAGGCCCCGACAGAUCAAAGAAGGUUUGGAUAGACCUUAAGAGAGUUGGAGUGAGCUACCUGAAGAGUGUAUAGCCGUGAUGAAGAAGAAGACUAUUUAUGUUGAUUUCCUAACUUGUAACAGUGAUUCAUUUUCAUUGUCUUCCAUUUUAUUCUUUCAUUUAUAUUGUAUACUUCAUAUGGUACAUAUUGUUAUUAGGUUAACUAACCUAUGUUCUUUGAUAUAUUUAUGUAAACAUAGACGUUCAAUCUGUCA
This is a long non-coding RNA of Cucumis sativus (cucumber), 1589 nucleotides long. RefSeq lists it as uncharacterized. The transcript has 2 exons. The record is from RefSeq and is a predicted model, not a curated record. Lineage: Eukaryota; Viridiplantae; Streptophyta; Magnoliopsida; Cucurbitales; Cucurbitaceae.